UACGUAGGGGGCAAGCGUUAUCCGGAUUUAUUGGGCGUAAAGAGCUCGUAGGCGGCCGUUCGCGUCGGAUGUGAAAGCUCAGGCUCAACUCUGAGACGCCAUUCGAUACGGGACGGCUAGAGGUAGGUAGGGGAAAGUGGAAUUCCUGGUGUAGCGGUGAAAUGCGUAGAUAUCAGGAGGAACACCUGCGGUGUAGACGGCUUACUGGACCAUAACUGACGCUGAGGCACGAAAGCGUGGGGAGCAAACAGG
RNAcentral lists this ribosomal RNA (252 nucleotides) under uncultured bacterium. RNAcentral describes it as "partial 16S ribosomal RNA". It matches the Rfam family "Bacterial small subunit ribosomal RNA", at positions 524 to 776 of the family's 1533-position model. The record is from RNAcentral.